RNAcentral lists this ribosomal RNA (522 nucleotides) under uncultured bacterium. Its description in RNAcentral is "bacterial SSU rRNA". It matches the Rfam family "Bacterial small subunit ribosomal RNA", at positions 777 to 1297 of the family's 1533-position model. The record is from RNAcentral.
AAUAGAUACCCGGGUAGUCCACGCCGUAAACGAUGAGUGCUAAGUGUUAGAGGGUUUCCGCCCUUUAGUGGCUGCAGCUAACGCAUUAAGCACUCCGCCUGGGGAGUACGGCCGCAAGGCUGAAACUCAAAGGAAUUGACGGGGGCCCGCACAAGCGGUGGAGCAUGUGGUUUAAUUCGAAGCAACGCGAAGAACCUUACCAGGUCUUGACAUCCUCUGCCAACCCUAGAGAUAGGGCGUUCCCCUUCGGGGGACAGAGUGACAGGUGGUGCAUGGUUGUCGUCAGCUCGUGUCGUGAGAUGUUGGGUUAAGUCCCGCAACGAGCGCAACCCUUGAUCUUAGUCGCCAGCAUUCAGUUGGGCACUCUAAGGUGACUGCCGGUGACAAACCGGAGGAAGGUGGGGAUGACGUCAAAUCAUCAUGCCCCUUAUGACCUGGGCUACACACGUGCUACAAUGGAUGGUACAAGAGCUGCGAACCCGCGAGGGUAAGCCAAUCUCAUAAAGCCAUUCUCAGUUCGGA